GAUGAAGAACGCAGCGAAAUGCGAUAAGUAGUGUGAAUUGCAGAAUUCAGUGAAUCAUCGAAUCUUUGAACGCACAUUGCGCCCCUCGGUAUUCCGUGGGGCAUGCCUGUUCGAGCGUCAUUUACCCCUCAAGCACUGCUUGGUGUUGGGCGUCUGUCCCGCUUCGCGCGCGGACUCGCCCCAAAGGUAUUGGCAGCGGUCGUGCCAGCUUCUCGCGCAGCACAUUGCGCUUCUCGAGGCGGUCGAUCGGCGUCCACGAAGCUCACCUCCACCGUUUGUCCUCGGAUCAGGUAGGGAUACCCGCUGAACUUAAGCAUAUCAAUAAGCGGAGGA
This 333-nucleotide unclassified non-coding RNA is filed under the name soil metagenome. Its description in RNAcentral is "partial contains 5.8S ribosomal RNA, internal transcribed spacer 2, and large subunit ribosomal RNA". The stretch from base 1 to 120 matches the Rfam family "5.8S ribosomal RNA", at positions 35 to 154 of the family's 154-position model. The record is from RNAcentral.